This 497-nucleotide ribosomal RNA is filed under the name uncultured bacterium. Its description in RNAcentral is "partial 16S ribosomal RNA". It matches the Rfam family "Bacterial small subunit ribosomal RNA", at positions 28 to 507 of the family's 1533-position model. The record is from RNAcentral.
GAUGAACGCUGGCGGCGUGCCUAAUACAUGCAAGUCGAGCGAACAGACGAGGAGCUUGCUCCUCUGACGUUAGCGGCGGACGGGUGAGUAACACGUGGAUAACCUACCUAUAAGACUGGGAUAACUUCGGGAAACCGGAGCUAAUACCGGAUAAUAUAUUGAACCGCAUGGUUCAAUAGUGAAAGACGGUUUUGCUGUCACUUAUAGAUGGAUCCGCGCCGCAUUAGCUAGUUGGUAAGGUAACGGGUUACCAAGGCAACGAUGCGUAGCCGACCUGAGAGGGAGGACGGCCACACUGGAACUGAGACACGGUCCAGACUCCUACGGGAGGCAGCAGUAGGGAAUCUUACGCAAUGGGCGAAAGCUUGACGGAGCAACGCCGCGUGAGUGAUGAAGGUCUUCGGAUCGUAAAACUCUGUUAUUAGGGAAGAACAAAUGUGUAAGUAACUAGGCACGUCUUGACGGUACCUAAUCAGAAAGCCACGGCUAACUACGUG